RNAcentral lists this long non-coding RNA (1294 nucleotides) under Phascolarctos cinereus (koala). RNAcentral describes it as "lncRNA (ENSPCIG00000035069.1)". The record is from RNAcentral. Lineage: Eukaryota; Metazoa; Chordata; Mammalia; Diprotodontia; Phascolarctidae.
AUUUGAGACUACGGAAGGCUCCGUCUUGAGAGAGGAAGAGGGCAAUAGGGAGAAAGAGAGCUGAGAGCCAAGGCUGGGUGGGGUGCCUCCGCCCUUCUCCUGGGUGCACAGCUGAGUGGGCGGGCAGGCGGGCUCUCGGGCUGGCUGCGGAGUGGUUGGUGGGCUCUGAAUAUUCUCCUACAAAGAAGGAGGGAGGGGAAGCAGUGGGUGGAGCAGGGCGGAAGCCCUGACAGGUGGGCCAGACAGCGUGUGCACACAGAGCACACUGCCAGGGGAGGAUGCUGGUGCGAGAGGAAAAGGGGGUGGGGAGUGGCGGGGCCAGCGCAGGGAAGGUGCAAGCGGAGGGGCAGAGCCACAGAGCGCGGCGCUAUCAGGUUGUGUUGCAGGAGACCGGGGGCAUGUUUGCUGUGUUUGCAUCCUCUCCACCCGUCUGGCCGGGGAGCUGCACGCCUGAGCGCGCUGGAAGCUACGUCCUGUGCCUUGGUUCCUCCGCCAGGAAGAGAGAGGGACUACGGGUGGCACUGUUGAAGCUAAGGGUAAGAGUUGCCAGAAAUUAACAGAAAAUAAAAGAAAAUACGAGUGAAGAAAUGUGAUUAAGCACAGAAACUUGAAAACCCAGAGGAAUGAAACGCUGAUAACUUCUUACUUUGGAGGACUUCUGUUAGAAGGGGGGUGGAGGGGACAGUUCCCAAGGAUCUGAAACAAAGCUUUUUAUCUACUUGUGAAGAUUUAUCUAGUUGUGAAGAGGGAGUUUUUAGCUAACGGAAGCUGCAGCAUUGUCCCCAGGAAAUAAUGCUUUAUCCAGAAUGGGGAUUGGGCAUACAUAUGCUUUGGAAUUUUGAACAUAUUUUGGACCUCCCUGAGGCCUUCUUCAUGUUAAGCAGACUGGAGUACUACUGCCCUCUCAAGUGGCCUACUCUAAGUGGACAAGAAAGCCUUGUCUUGACAGGCUUUAUGGAUUUGGUUAUAAAAUGUGGAAUGGGGGCCUGCUUUAUUUCUGGCACUGUUCAGAAUUGUGCUGAAUCUCUUAUCACCUGGUGUUUUCAUCUGGCCGGUCACCCUCAGGCAGAACCCAGGCAGAGCGUCUGCCUUUGAGCAUUUGGGAAAGGAAGGCCCAAGCAAUGAAGUGGAUGAGACUAGUUUCCAAAAGGCUGCUUAUGUCUGGGAGCUGAGGCCAGACCCAGGCUACAGGCCAUUAGGUCUGGUCCAGUUGUGGUUUCACUGACAUUGACCAUUUUCUUGUCAAAGACCUGUUUGGAAUAAAACUGGAUUUUGCUGAACUGUUCUCUUAUUC